RNAcentral lists this ribosomal RNA (509 nucleotides) under uncultured bacterium. Its description in RNAcentral is "bacterial SSU rRNA". It matches the Rfam family "Bacterial small subunit ribosomal RNA", at positions 29 to 526 of the family's 1533-position model. The record is from RNAcentral.
AGUGAACGCUGGCGGUAGGCCUAACACAUGCAAGUCGAACGGCAGCACAGAGGAGCUUGCUCCUUGGGUGGCGAGUGGCGGACGGGUGAGGAAUACAUCGGAAUCUACUCUGUCGUGGGGGAUAACGUAGGGAAACUUACGCUAAUACCGCAUACGACCUACGGGUGAAAGCAGGGGACCUUCGGGCCUUGCGCGAUUGAAUGAGCCGAUGUCGGAUUAGCUAGUUGGCGGGGUAAAGGCCCACCAAGGCGACGAUCCGUAGCUGGUCUGAGAGGAUGAUCAGCCACACUGGAACUGAGACACGGUCCAGACUCCUAUGGGAGGCAGCAGUGGGGAAUAUUGGACAAUGGGAGCAAGCAUGAUCCAGCCAUACCGCGUGGGUGAAGAAGGCCUUCGGGUUGUAAAGCCCUUUUGUUGGGAAAGAAAUCCAGCCGGCUAAUACCUGGUUGUGAUGACGGUACCCAAAGAAUAAGCACCGGCUAACUUCGUGCCAGCCGCCGCCGUAAUAC